RNAcentral lists this ribosomal RNA (141 nucleotides) under Triticum aestivum (bread wheat). RNAcentral describes it as "partial small subunit ribosomal RNA". Lineage: Eukaryota; Viridiplantae; Streptophyta; Magnoliopsida; Poales; Poaceae. The record is from RNAcentral.
AUGAAAAGUAUCAUUGCCGCCAUAGUGUGGAACUUCGAUUUUGAGAUGGUGGGAGGGUACGUUGUAGAGCCAAAGCCAUCAGUUGUGCUCAAGAUGAAGAAUGGGUUGUGUGCCAAGAUCCUCAAACGGCGGAUCAAAUGA